UACGUAGGUGGCAAGCGUUGUCCGGAUUUACUGGGCGUAAAGCGCGCGCAGGCGGGUCGGUCAGUCUGGGGUGAAAUCUCACGGCUUAACUGUGAGAGGUCCCUGGAUACUACCGGUCUUGAGGGGCUCAGAGGAGAGUGGAAUUCCGGGUGUAGUGGUGGAAUGCGUAGAUAUCCGGAGGAACACCAGUGGCGAAAGCGACUCUCUGGGGGCAUCCUGACGCUGAGGCGAGAAAGCGUGGGGAGCGAACCGG
RNAcentral lists this ribosomal RNA (253 nucleotides) under uncultured bacterium. RNAcentral describes it as "partial 16S ribosomal RNA". It matches the Rfam family "Bacterial small subunit ribosomal RNA", at positions 524 to 776 of the family's 1533-position model. The record is from RNAcentral.